This 492-nucleotide unclassified non-coding RNA is filed under the name Hevea brasiliensis (rubber tree). The record is from RNAcentral. Lineage: Eukaryota; Viridiplantae; Streptophyta; Magnoliopsida; Malpighiales; Euphorbiaceae.
AUUCCAGAAUUUUCCAGAAAUAAAGAUUACUUCUUCCUCUUCCUAAGUUCUCUCUUUCUUCCUGAAACUGUGAAGUUGGCAGAGCUGGAAGAGCAGCUGAGAUUUCUCCAAUAAGACUCCAGGAAAACUGCCACAGAUCCCAGAGGAGAGAUUCAAGACUUGAGGCAAGGAUUAAGAGAGGAGAUAAAGCAAUCAGCAAAGGACAACAAGAAUACCAUAUUGGAUGACUUGCGAUCCUUAAUCACCCAUUCAAUGUGGGAUAAAUGAAAAGGAAUCAUGAAUGGGAAAGGAGAGACUGUUGCAGGGGAAAACAGAGCAAUUGGGAGAAGCGGAAUUCUUCUCAAACCAAAGGAAUGCUUGAAUCCUCAGGGCAGCUCUGGAUCUUCUUCAAAAAUGGAAGGCAUGUCUAAGAUGUUGCCAAAAAUAGAGUUAGUCACUUUGGAGGGAAAAGACCUAGGUCUUGGGUAAAGAAAUGUGAAAAAUGCUUCAAAG